CUGACAUGCCCGUCUCGGCCACAAGGAGGCAGUAUAACGCAGUCUUCCAAACAAACAUGGAAGAAUAGUACCUCUACUUUUCCUCGAAGUCACUCAGUGGGAUGCUUUGAUAUUAAUCAUUUUUCAUAGAGGACAACGAAUGUGUGCCUGUGAGUGUUGGGAUAUUACAUAUCUGUCAAGAAAACGUCACCUGGGAUGGCAAACAAAAAUGGAACACAGAAGCCACCUGCAGAUAAGAACCAGCACGCUUGAGGAGAUGGGGGUGGCACAAAAGAGGUACUGGUCAGGCAUCUCAGAGCGGAGAGAAAACGUGAAGCAGUGCUGCUGCUGCUUUCGAAACAAGGUGAUGCUCAAGUGAUGUGCUUCUCUCUUGUUAUUUUCUGUAACUUCCUGCCUAAAAAUAAAACACCCCACCCGCAACUUCAA
Hippocampus zosterae (dwarf seahorse) is the source of this 426-nucleotide long non-coding RNA. RefSeq lists it as uncharacterized. The record is from RefSeq and is a predicted model, not a curated record. Lineage: Eukaryota; Metazoa; Chordata; Actinopteri; Syngnathiformes; Syngnathidae. The transcript has 2 exons.